This 323-nucleotide unclassified non-coding RNA is filed under the name Nocardia otitidiscaviarum. RNAcentral's name for it is "16S-23S ribosomal RNA intergenic spacer". The record is from RNAcentral. Lineage: Bacteria; Bacillati; Actinomycetota; Actinomycetes; Mycobacteriales; Nocardiaceae.
CUAAGGAGCACUUCUACACACUGCGUCACACAGGUGAUUGUGGGUGUGUCAGAGACCGUUUCGGACCCGAACGUGGUCCGGCGGACGCUCAUGGGUGGAACACUGACAUGUGCCGAGCCUGGCUCGGAUGUAGUCGACACACUGUUGGGUCCUGAAAGAACAGACGUUCUUUCCAGGCAAGAUAACGACGAGACUCAAUCCGCGAGUCAUACCGCCGGGAAUUUUCUCGGUCUGGUGCCGCAGUAGUGAGUGGGUCUUGUGUGUUGUUUGAGAACUGCACAGUGGACGCGAGCAUCUUUGUUAGUAAGUGUGUAAGAGCGUAC